This 305-nucleotide ribosomal RNA is filed under the name Candidatus Bathyarchaeota archaeon. RNAcentral's name for it is "partial 23S ribosomal RNA". It matches the Rfam family "Archaeal large subunit ribosomal RNA", at positions 2721 to 2987 of the family's 2987-position model. Lineage: Archaea; Thermoproteati; Candidatus Bathyarchaeota. The record is from RNAcentral.
UGGUCGCCUGAGGGGAAAGGGUCCCCAGUACGAGAGGAACGGGACGCUGCGGCCUCUAGUUUACCGGUUGUUCGACAGAGCAUUGCCGGGCAGCCACGCCGUUUUGGAUAAGGGCUGAAAGCAUCUAAGCCCGAAGCCUUUCCCGAAAAUAGGCGGCCGUUCCCAACGCGGAUGCUUGGCAACAAGUGUCUUGUUGGGACAAGGGUCCCCAUAGAAGAUGGGGUUGAUGGAGCCGGGGUGUACGCGUCAAGACUUCGGUCGAGAUGUUCAGCCUGCGGCUCCCAAUCGCCCAAGGUGUCGAGCGC